AUUAUUUUAAGCUAUAUAUUAGGAGUAAAUAAAAUUUAUGAAAUUAAAAAAUUUUGGCGGUAUUUUAAGCUUAUUAGAGGAAUUUGCUCUGUGAUGGACACAACGCCUUAAUCUUACUUAAUUUAGUAAUUUAAAUCAGUUUGUAUACCACUAUAUUAAUUAUAUUGAAUAGUUAUAUUUAAUAUUUUUUUUAAAAAAAUAUAUUAAGUCAAGGUGCAUCUAAUAAUUAUGAAUGAAGUGAAUUACAUUAAUUUUAAUGUAUUUUUUACAUGAAAAAAUUAAUUAGGAUUUAAUAGUAAAAUACUAAUAUUAUGAGUAUUUGAAUCAAGCUCUAAAAUAUGCAC
RNAcentral lists this ribosomal RNA (344 nucleotides) under Ixodes scapularis (black-legged tick). Its description in RNAcentral is "partial 12S ribosomal RNA". The record is from RNAcentral. Lineage: Eukaryota; Metazoa; Arthropoda; Arachnida; Ixodida; Ixodidae.